UACGUAGGGUGCGAGCGUUAAUCGGAAUUACUGGGCGUAAAGCGUGCGCAGGCGGUUCGUUGUGUCGGCGGUGAAAGCCCCGGGCUUAACCUGGGAAUGGCCGUUGAAACUGGCGAACUGGAGUGUGGCAGAGGGGGGUGGAAUUCCGCGUGUAGCAGUGAAAUGCGUAGAGAUGCGGAGGAACACCGAUGGCGAAGGCAGCCCCCUGGGCUAACACUGACGCUCAGGCACGAAAGCGUGGGGGGCAAACAGG
RNAcentral lists this ribosomal RNA (253 nucleotides) under uncultured bacterium. RNAcentral's name for it is "partial 16S ribosomal RNA". It matches the Rfam family "Bacterial small subunit ribosomal RNA", at positions 524 to 776 of the family's 1533-position model. The record is from RNAcentral.